UUAAAGCUUUCAGAUACACUUUUUGUUAAUUGAGAUCUUAAUGACGCUACAUUGUACUUCUAAGUAAAUAGAUGCUCAAAGUAACAAGAUGCUCUGGGUGUUCACUGGGUGACAAAGGCUACCCUGUAUUGGUUGUUUCUUUUUUCUGAAAAGAUGUUUCUAGUGAAUUGCCAAGUUGCAGUGGUUUUGACGCCACAGAACCAGCACAGCUCCAUGACAGAUAUAUAUAUGUUUUCGUCAUUGAUGUCGGUACUGCUGUAUUGGUGGCCUCACAAUUUCUGUGUGGAAAUGUCAUCUGAUACACUCAUAACUGCGUAUUUCUAGCAUAGCUUUCAUAAGUGCAUGGCCAUUCUCUGUCAUUUUCAGAUACACUGUGUUGUGUGUGGAUAAGAAAUGCAGAGUGGUACCACCAAUCACCUAAGCCACCAUUCCCCUUACAGACAAAAGGCUCAUGGAGACAGUUCCUGCAGUUUACAGCAAAGCUCUCAAUUGUAGCCCUACAAACUUCAGAUACUGCCCAUGGUGAAGCUUGGGUGCACUGGGCCGGUUAUCCAGCCGAGUGGAAUCCACAUCUCCAGCUGAACUUGGGCCGGGAAUUAUAUAAGAAUCCUUAGCAGCAUGAGUGCCAGCCAGUCAUUGCUGUUCUUUGCAUUGCUGAGGAGGACAGUCCUGCCAACAUAACAGUUUGUUCAAUAACAGGAGACAAACAGAAACACAGAGGUGCUAUACAUUUCAAUGGAAAAACAAAAGCAUCUCCUAUCAUUUUGGCGUGGCUCAGAUCAAGAGGAGAAUUUCAAGAAAGGUGAUGGUUGGCACACACAAGAAGACAUAGGUCACAGGUGUCCAGGCAUAUGAGCAGACAGGAGUUUCACACUCUGCCAAACUUACUUCAUCAGAGGAGCAGAAGGCUUCUCAAGAUCCCGCACUGCACACUUAGAUAUAGUCUUUGACUACAACAAGGGGAUGAAAGUACAGAAAGGUCCAAUUGAAAUCAAUUCUGUGCUGCGUCAUUUCUUCAUUCUGGAAGUCGAUGGACAUGAUUUAUCAUGGCAUCAAGUGUGCAGUUUGCCGACUAUCAGCAGUCUUGUUCACCAGCUGUGCAACUUGAGCUGGUAGCUUUAUUGCUUGAAGCCACUGCAUAAAAGGGGGAAGGUGCAGGCUCAUCAAAAAGUCUCAAAAGUUGAAACUAGGAAAAGAAGUUUGUGAAAACAAUCGUUAAAAUGAUUUGGUUUCCUUUGAAACUUAAUACAUACUAUGUGUAUGUUGAAUGAAUUGAGAUGCUUAAAUAAAGAACCGCUAUUCAAAUAUCAGGAAACUGCAUUUUUCAUACUAAUGGGUAAAUGAUGUCGCCAUUUCCUGUAUGUAUUUAAAUAAGAUAUGUUUCCACAAUUAAUAUUUUUAGGGAAUUUUUCUCAACCUAAUGAAUGAGAUUAAAUUGUACAGCGUUAUAUGAGCUUAAUAUGUGUUUUCUGUUUCUUUAAAAUUGGUGAAAAAUUGUCAGAAGAUAAUUAGACCAGUAUCCAUUACUGCAAUCAUACAAUCAAAUAUACAGGGACAAACCCACUGGGCAUAUAAUAUAAUUAAACCCUGUUUAGGGGCACGAGGCAAACAGAGUUACUUUCAAACGUUAAAGCUGCACUCUCACAUUUUGGACGUUUUGACAACUUUUCUCAUUUUAUGUCUUGGAUUGGAACCAUCCAAUUUUUGCGAAAAAUUAAUUGGUAGAUUUUUCUAUUUAAGUUAAAAAUUGAUGUUUUAUGCACUUUUCUUAAACCGUUAGUAACAUUAAUUUUCGAACGGAAAUCUGAAAUCUGUGAUCUGAUCUUUUGUCAGCAAUCUUUUAUCAUUGGUUUGCAGAUAAUUACGCCAAAAAAUACUCAUUCCAAAACAAAAAAGGUGUGAAAACGGUAUAACUGUGGGAGUGCAGCUCUAAAUGUUUAAUUUCUUGAUUUUACUACUGUAUUAGAAAUUACAGGGGUUGGAGCAUAUUUUUAGUGUUUUUAUUCCUUUUUUAUGAUUCAUACAGUCAUACUUUAUUCCUCAGGGCAUAACUUACAAAUAGACAAAACUGGAAAAUGGUCAUUUCAAAAGGUCAAAGAUAAUGCAAGUUGAACAAUCAUAUUGUUCAUGGCUUGUUUUUUUGGUAUAUUUUGUUGCAUAUGCUAUAGAAAAGUUGAAAGUUAAAAAUAAAUUCAUAGUUGAAAUAAUGGCUUUGAAUGGUAUUGUCAGAUAAGAAACGGCACUAUUAAGAAAUAGGUACAAUGGUACUUUAUUUAUUUUGAUCAAUUUUAAAUAUUGUAUGAAAAUUAUUAUCUUAUUUAGUACAUGAGAACUUUUAAACAGUUAUUGACAAUAUAACAAUGUGUAUAUGAAGCUUUAGAUCAACACUUAAAGCUGCAUUCUUAUAGAUUGUCAGUUAAGACACAAAAUUGUCUCAAAAUCUGCUGAUUAGGUUAUCAUUCCUUUAAUUCAGUCAUAUUAGAUAAUUCACAAUAGAACCAAUCAGAAAUGUUUGGUAAAACUGCCGAAAAUUUCAUUUACAUUAAAUUGUUCGUAAUGCUUUUAGCCAUAAAACAUCAUUUUUUAACAUAAAUAUGAUAAACUGCAAUCUGAUCUUUUUUCAGCAGUCUUAUAUCACUUAAAAUUGGGUCUAGACAUUUAUGCAAAAAAAUGUCCAUUUAUAGACAAACAAUAAAAGAGUACCGGUAGUCAAAACGAUCAAUCGGUGAGAUUGCAGCUUUAAAUACACCUUUUAAGACCGCUGUAAAAUUCCAAUGGUUUGCCUAAAUUUUUAAAGCUAGCAUACUGUUUAAUUGACAACCAUACUUAUUGUUUAAAAGUGUCAUGAUA
Long non-coding RNA from Mya arenaria, 2850 nucleotides. RefSeq lists it as uncharacterized. The record is from RefSeq and is a predicted model, not a curated record. Lineage: Eukaryota; Metazoa; Mollusca; Bivalvia; Myida; Myidae. The transcript has 5 exons.